AGAUGUAAGGGUGAUCUGGGUGACAUCUGUCACCCCAUUAAUAACUAGGGUUGAUUUGGCUGAUCUGGCUGACUAGGUGGGUGUCCCCUUCCUCUGUCACUACUCCAUGUGUGUCCCUCCCAAAGCUGCACACUCGGUCGAAGAGGACGGCCUUCCCUGAAUAGAGAUGGACCAGUUUUCGGCUGAGGUUAAAUGAGUAGCUGUACUCUCCUGCUAGAAACUCCAAUUAAGCUCUCAAGGUCCUUUUGUAGGAGAAUGUAGGGUAGACAAGCCUUAAAGACUCCAGGCACAUCCAAAUGACGCGCUGCAUGUAGCAGUCUGCCUUUCUUU
This 330-nucleotide small nuclear RNA is filed under the name Erinaceus europaeus (western European hedgehog). Its description in RNAcentral is "7SK RNA". It matches the Rfam family "7SK RNA". From Rfam's summary of the family: 7SK was discovered as an abundant small nuclear RNA in the mid-70s but a possible function has only recently been suggested. Two independent studies have found that 7SK RNA binds the CDK9/cyclin T complex (known as elongation factor P-TEFb). Lineage: Eukaryota; Metazoa; Chordata; Mammalia; Eulipotyphla; Erinaceidae. The record is from Rfam by way of RNAcentral.